ACCGGGUACCCAUUUUCUGCUGGGUAAACAGAGGAAAUUUUGAACAAACUCACUUGCCUAAGGUGAGACCACAUGUAUCACAUUGUGGGGCAGGACUGAAGUCCUAGAAACUCUCAGGAGUCAGGCUUCCCAACACAGUCACCCAACCAGGUACCCAUCCAAGGACUCUCCGAGCUUGACGUUGCUAAGCUUCAACUGAUUCGUGACCUGAGCUCAGUGCACAGGACCACACACCACCACAACUAGGUUAUCAACUACAGUAGGUUUGCUUUAAAGUUAACUUAAGCAUUUAACUGCAUCCGAGGUUUCAGAUGACAAAUGUGUGUUGGAAACCAAGGCUUGUACUGGCAUUGAGGCAAGUAGUCCCCUCACCGAGUAGCUCUACAACUAGUGCUACAACUGUUGUAACUGGGGUAGUUGUAAGGUGAACACUGUAGUAGAGACCCAGUUCCACAAAGCGAUGUUAGUGGCAAGGCGAUCCUUGCACUCAUAUAUCAACACUGACUUAAAAUAGUUGUGACUCCGAUGUAGCUUCAGGUCCACACCCUGACUAACAAUGUUGCUUUAUAUUCAUGAACCCCUUAGCCACAUUACAUGACCUGUUACAGAAUGGCAGUUUUCUGUUAAUGCUCAGAUCAUGGUGCUCAGAUUUUAUGCCUAUGUCUUCAAGCCUGUUCCUUCUCUAGUCCUAUCUACAUGUGAUUGAUGCAGUCAUGUGUUGGUGAUGUGCCAUUCUGUAUAUUUUACCCAUCUGUGUUUUUAUUAUUGGUUUUAGCAUGUUUACAUGAUAACUGCAUAGUGGCUUGAUCAAUGUGAUGUCCCACAGGUUGGUUUACAUGAUAACUGCAUAGUGGCUUGAUCAAUGUGGUUUCCCAGCAGGUUGGUUUACAUGAUAACUGCAUAGUGGCUUGAUCAAUGUGAUGUCCCAGCAGGUUGGUUUACAUGAUAUCUGCAUAGUGGCUUGACCAAUGUGAUGCCCACAGGUUGGUUUUCACGAUAUCUGCAUAGUGGCUUGAUCAAUGUGAUGUCCCAGCAGGUUGGUUUACACGAUAUCUGCAUAGUGGCUUGACCAAUGUGAUGUCCCAGCAGGUUGGUUUACACGAUAUCUGCAUAGUGGCUUGACCAAUGUGAUGUCCCAGCAGGUUGGUUUACAUGAUAAAUGCAUAGUGGCUUGACCAAUGUGAUGCCCACAGGUUGGUUUACACGAUAUCUGCAUAGUGGCUUGACCAAUGUGAUGUCCCAGCAGGUUGGUUUACACGAUAUCUGCAUAGUGGCUUGACCAAUGUGAUGCCCACAGGUUGGUUUACACGAUAUCUGCAUAGUGGCUUGACCAAUGUGAUGUCCCAGCAGGUUGGUUUACAUGAUAACUGCAUAGUGGCUUGACCAAUGUGAUGUCCCAGCAGGUUGGUUUACACGAUAUCUGCAUAGUGGCUUGACCAAUGUGAUGCCCACAGGUUGGUUUACACGAUAUCUGCAUAGUGGCUUGACCAAUGUGAUGUCCCAGCAGGUUGGUUUACACGAUAUCUGCAUAGUGGCUUGAUCAAUGUGGUUUCCCAGCAGGCUGGUUUACAUGAUAAGGGCAUAGUGGCUUGAUCAAUGUGGUGUUCCAGCAGGCAUUGUAGUUAUGCAUACAUUCAUUCUGAAGGCAAGCUCAGUUCAUCUUUGUCUACACAUAUAAUGGUCCCAGUUGGAAUCGAUCUAGCAUGGAGGCUACCUUGCAAGCAGGUCUGGUCACCGAAAUAUGGUGAAUCUCGUGCUGUACCCAACUUCUGGUGUCGUCUCUAAAAGACAGCUGGACCAGGAACUGAUCCCACAUUAGGGCACAACUGUUGCCAAGAACAGCCCCAAAUAUGAAUCAAUAUUCUUGUUAUCCAGCAAGUGCAACACACUUGCAUUGCAUACAACUUAGCAAGUUUACAAUUCACAGACUGGGGAAAACAACCUUGCAAGGUGACAGUGCCUGAACAUGUCGGCGCCCCAAAUAAAUCAGUUGAUAUUGGCCGAAAGUGGGCUGUAAUUCAGUGAUACUUAUCCUUGUAGCCUUGCUCCAAGGCUGUACCGAAUGCUGAGCCCAUGGAUGUACAGUAAUUUCAUCCUUUAAAGAGGCAAGUCUAGAGAAGCGGACAAUCUAAGGACCCCAGUCUGUUAUAUAUUUUUUUUAUAGAAAUUAAUGUUUAAGUCUAACUUCCUUGGUGCAGUUGUAAAUAUCCCUACAGUGGUGAUGGCUUGUAUUUUGAUGCUGUGGCCUCUUGACCUGUAAAGGCUAAUACGCAGAAGUGUGGGUGUACAUACAAGACUUUCUCAGCCUUCCACAUACCUGUGACACCCACUUCUUGGAUUAUAUGUGGACACAACCCUUCUCUGUGCAUUCCACUUUAACAAAGAUUGGACUGUUUGAUGGUGUAAGAUUCAGUAAUCAAAAUCUCUGCAGGCCAAGUAUGGAUGUGUCUGUAGUCCGAGGGAUUGCAAAAAACGUGAAGAAAACAUUCCUCUGCUAUGUAAAUGAUGGAAGUGUGAUUUGGGUUAAAACGGCAAAACAGCAUUUUCCUAAUACAGAAAGAUGCCUUGACAGUAUAAGUUUUCCUUACUUUCAAAUUCCGCUGCCAUAUAGCUGGAAUAUUGCAGAGUGCGGCGUAAAACUAAACUCACUCAUUCACUCACUUACUUUCAAAAUUUGUAGGCUUCCGCAACAUUUGACAUGUAAUUACUCUAACUUAUCGGUCAAAGCUAAAGGUGAUAUGGACUGUUGUGUUUUGCAUGUUACUGUAUUACCCUCCCUUCUGAAAAUGCCUUGAUUUGAUAUUGGCUAGGUUAGCAGGAUGGCGCCACCAUUAGAAUUACCGUUUAUUACCGUAGAUAAGCCGAAUUUUGUAGAAGGGGUCGGCUUAUCUAUGGGUUACACUUUUUGUCAAACCUUUUUUCAGGGGUAAGGGGGUAUCGCUCCCGUGAACAAACAAACAAGAGAAGACGACUUUGUCAAAUAAUAUCUGAAAAGAAGUGGUUAUUUGUUUUUAUUUCCUAAAAGGUUAUGUGAUAAUUACUGCUUCAGCCAUGUGAUGUCCUUGAACAAAUUUCUCAAUCUAUAUCUUUUUAUGCUUCAGGAGAAAUGCUUUUCUAGUGACUAGAACAGGGUUUAUUUCCAUGGAGCACACUUUGUAGUAAAUAGUUCGGGACAUUAAGGGCAAAUGCCUGCAGCUUGAGUAAAUGAAUUUGUGUUCUAGAAUUCAUAUGUCAUUGUGCAGACAUCUCAGUUCUCCUUGCUCAAUUCUACAUUUCCAGUUACAAUGGGAUUUUUGCAUGACAACAAUUUAAAAUAGUCGAAUGUGUUUCUUACUCAUUUCGGGGCUGUGGGGUAGCUUAGUGGUUAAAGCGUUGGCUCGUCAUGCCGAAGACCCAGGUUCGAAUCCCCACAUGGGUACAUUGUGUGAAGCCCAUUUCUGGUGUCCCCUGCCAUGAUGUUGCUGGAAUAUUGCUAAAAGCGGCAUAAAACCAAACUCAGUCAGUCAGUCUUUCUCAUUUCUGUGUUCAUUUUUUUCCAGAUAUUUCAAGCAGUCCACUGUUUAUUAUGACAUCCUGUAAACCCAGUUACACAUGGUAUAGGUAUGUCAGUGUUGAAUAGCAUCAGGCUGGAGUUAAUGUUAGAUCCACCUGUAUUUAAGGGACCAAAACAAUUGUUGACAUUUUUCUGCAAUAAAGCCUUUAAGAGUAAGAA
Molecule: long non-coding RNA, 3712 nt
Filed under: Haliotis rubra (blacklip abalone)
Lineage: Eukaryota; Metazoa; Mollusca; Gastropoda; Lepetellida; Haliotidae
Description: uncharacterized LOC124272845
Rfam family: tRNA (bases 3347-3413)
Source: RNAcentral